UACGGAGGGUGCAAGCGUUGUUCGGAAUUACUGGGCGUAAAGCGCACGUAGGCGGCGAUUUAAGUCAGAGGUGAAAGCCCAGUGCUCAACACUGGAACUGCCUUUGAAACUAGAUUGCUUGAAUCCAGGAGAGGUGAGUGGAAUUCCGAGUGUAGAGGUGAAAUUCGUAGAUAUUCGGAAGAACACCAGUGGCGAAGGCGGCUCACUGGACUGGUAUUGACGCUGAGGUGCGAAAGCGUGGGGAGCAAACAGG
This 253-nucleotide ribosomal RNA is filed under the name uncultured bacterium. Its description in RNAcentral is "partial 16S ribosomal RNA". It matches the Rfam family "Bacterial small subunit ribosomal RNA", at positions 524 to 776 of the family's 1533-position model. The record is from RNAcentral.